GCGCACGGGUGCGUAACGCGUAUGCAACCUACCUUAUACAGGGAGAUAGCCCGAAGAAAUUCGGAUUAAUACCCCAUAGUAUUGUUUUACUGCAUGGUAGAACAAUUAAAGAUUUAUCGGUAUAAGAUGGGCAUGCGUUAGAUUAGCUAGUUGGAGAGGUAACGGCUCACCAAGGCUACGAUCUAUAGGGGGCCUGAGAGGGUGAUCCCCCACACUGGUACUGAGACACGGACCAGACUCC
This 241-nucleotide ribosomal RNA is filed under the name uncultured bacterium. RNAcentral's name for it is "partial 16S ribosomal RNA". It matches the Rfam family "Bacterial small subunit ribosomal RNA", at positions 98 to 339 of the family's 1533-position model. The record is from RNAcentral.